CAACCGAACCUCACAGCUCGGCUUCACCCGAACUUACAUACAGCUGUGUUUUCCUUCCAGCCUGAGCGGAUUGGAUAAAUUAAAGAGGCGGGUCCGCCUCUUUUCUACUUGCUGGUUGGCGAAGCUGACCUCUAAGGGCGGUGCCCGGCAUUAGCCAGUGUGCUUCUGGGAUUGGCUACAAAGGUAGUUCCGCUGAGGAGUGGUAGGAAGUGGUAGCCGUCAAUCACGAAGGAGAGACUCCAAACAGUGAGCCUUGAGCUGGAGAACAGCGUUUACCGGCGGGAGGCCGGUUUUGUGAAUGAAGCUAUGGCUACAGAUUCCCCUAGAAGACCCAGUCGUUGUACUGGGGGAGUUGUGGUUCGCCCCCAGGCUGUCACAGAGCAGUCCUACAUGGAAAGUGUUGUGACUUUUCUACAGGAUGUUGUACCACAAGCUUAUAGUGGAACACCUCUAACAGAAGAAAAGGAGAAGAUAGUCUGGGUCAGAUUUGAAAAUGCAGAUUUAAAUGAUACGUCAAGAAAUCUGGAAUUUCAUGAAGUACACGGCACAGGGAAUGAGCCACCUUUGCUGAUUAUGAUUGGCUACAGUGAUGGAAUGCAGGUCUGGAGCAUCCCUAUCAGUGGGGAAGCACAGGAACUCUUCUCUGUUCGACAUGGCCCAAUUCGAGCUGCUAGAAUCUUGCCUGCUCCACAGUUUGGUACUCAAAAGUGUGACAACUUUGCUGAAAAAAGACCCCUCCUUGGUGUUUGUAAGAGCAUUGGAUCUUCUGGCACAAGCCCUCCUUACUGCUGUGUUGAUCUGUAUUCACUUCGCACUGGGGAAAUGGUCAAGUCCAUUCAGUUUAAAACACCAAUCUAUGACCUCCACUGCAACAAGCGGAUCCUCGUCGUAGUCUUGCAGGAGAAAAUCGCUGCCUUUGAUAGCUGUACUUUCACAAAAAAAUUCUUUGUCACAAGCUGCUAUCCUUGUCCUGGGCCAAACAUGAAUCCUAUUGCUCUUGGGAGCCGCUGGCUUGUUUAUGCAGAAAACAAGUUGAUUCGAUGCCAUCAAUCCCGUGGUGGAGCCUGUGGAGACAACAUUCAGUCUUAUACUGCCACAGUCAUUAGUGCUGCCAAAACAUUGAAAACUGGCCUGACAAUGGUUGGGAAAGUGGUAACCCAGCUGACAGGCACUCUGCCUUCAGGUGUGACAGAAGAUGAUGUUGCCAUCCAUAGUAAUUCACGACGGAGUCCUUUCGUCCCAGGCAUAAUCACAGUUAUUGACACUGAAACAGUUGGAGAGGGCCAGGUGCUUUUGAGCGAGGAUUCUGACAGUGAUGGUAUUGUGGCCCACUUCCCUGCUCAUGAGAAGCCAGUGUGCUGUAUGGCUUUUAAUACAAGUGGAAUGCUUCUAGUCACAACAGACACCCUUGGCCAUGACUUCCAUGUCUUCCAAAUUCUGACUCAUCCUUGGUCCUCAUCACAAAGUGCUGUCCAUCAUCUGUAUACUCUGCACAGGGGAGAAACUGAAGCCAAAGUACAAGAUAUCUGCUUCAGUCAUGACUGUCGCUGGGUUGUGGUCAGUACGCUCCGGGGGACUUCCCAUGUUUUCCCCAUCAACCCUUACGGUGGCCAGCCUUGUGUUCGUACACAUAUGUCACCACGAGUAGUGAAUCGCAUGAGCCGUUUCCAGAAAAGUGCUGGGCUGGAAGAGAUUGAACAAGAACUGACGUCUAAGCAAGGGGGCCGCUGUAGUCCUGUUCCAGGCCUAUCGAGCAGCCCGUCUGGCUCACCUUUGCAUGGGAAACUGAACAGUCAAGAUUCCUACAACAAUUUUACCAACAACAACCCUGGCAACCCUCGGCUAUCUCCUCUCCCCAGCUUGAUGGUAGUGAUGCCUCUUGCACAAAUCAAGCAGCCGAUGACAUUGGGGACUAUCACCAAACGAACAGGGCCUUAUCUGUUUGGAGCAGGCUGUUUUUCCAUAAAAACUCCAUGCAAAGUUAAACCACCUCCUCAAAUUUCACCCAGCAAAUCGAUGGGCGGAGAAUUUUGCGUGGCUGCUGUCUUUGGAACAUCCAGAUCAUGGUUUGCAAAUAAUGCAGGUCUGAAAAGAGAAAAAGAUCAGUCAAAACAAGUUGUAGUUGAAUCUCUCUACAUUAUCAGCUGCUAUGGGACCUUAGUGGAGCACAUGAUGGAACCUCGACCCCUCAGCACUGCCUCCAAGAUUAGCGAUGACACCCCACUGGAAAUAAUGACAUCACCUCGAGCCAGCUGGACUCUGGUCAGAACCCCUCAAUGGAAUGAAUUGCAACCACCGUUUAAUGCAAACCACCCUCUGCUCCUUGCUGCAGAUGCAGUACAGUAUUAUCAGUUCCUGCUUGCUGGCUUGGUUCCUCCUGGAAGUCCUGGGCCCAUUACUCGGCAUGGGUCUUAUGAUAGUUUAGCUUCUGACCAUAGUGGACAGGAAGAUGAAGAAUGGCUUUCUCAGGUUGAAAUUGUAACACACACUGGACCCCACAGACGUCUUUGGAUGGGUCCACAGUUCCAAUUCAAAACCAUCCAUCCCUCAGGCCAAACCACAGUCAUAUCAUCCAGUUCAUCCGUGCUGCAGUCACAUGGUCCAAGUGAUACUCCACAGCCCCUUUUGGAUUUUGAUACAGAUGAUCUUGAUCUCAAUAGUCUCAGGAUCCAGCCCGUCCGCUCUGACCCAGUCAGCAUGCCGGGGUCAUCCUGUCCAGUCUCUGAUCGAAGGGGAGUUUCCACAGUGAUUGAUGCUGCCUCAGAAGAUUUCCUAACAUUGGAGUAAAUGCUAAGGAUGUAGAUAAUUUGUGACAGGCUUACACAGUGAGUCUCUGAACUACGUGGAAUGUUCAAAAUACCAUAUUUGAAACAAUUAAAGAGAGGGAGAAAGAUGAAGUAGAAGCUAUGAAAUGUUCUGAAAAGCAGGAACUGUUGCCUGACCCUGAUGGACACCACAGAAAACCCCAGUAGAGAUGCUGUUCUUGGAAGCUAAAGUCAAAGCAGGCCUGCCUUUGAAGUCCAUUGUUGAGAAGACCAUUGUGUUUUGUGGGGGAGGAGUGCUCAGUGCUAGAAGAGUUAAUAAACACCAAGAGCUGUGCUCAUCUUGUAGCUUUGGUAAGCCUUAAUCUGUAAACUUGAUUACCUCCUAACUCGCCAUCUCUUGCCUCCCCCUUGAAGCACUGCAGGGGCUUUAUGGUGGUAUUAGUGGCAUUUUGCCCAACAUUGGCUUUAGGGAAAUCAUUCUACAAGAAAGAAAAGCAGAAAGACUAGAUCUGUCUGCUGUGUGCAGUCAUGAACAGAAAAAUAAGCUUAUGAGCUGCAGAGGGCAGAAAGGGUUUUCUGUCCUUACUUGAAAAUUGCAGGUGAAAUGUCACUCUCCUCUUCUUGCAGCCCAACUCGUUCCAAGCCUAGUGGCACCAUCAAGAAGGACUCACUUGAGAUGCUUUCAGCAGGAUACUCCGCAGUAUGUCAUGGAGAGUCCUUUGUAUUCACCAUAUUUCAUAAAAAUAUGUUCUUGAAGCUAUAGCUGUCUAGGAUUUUUCUUACACACACAUACUCACACAGUGUUUCUUUGUGAUUCUCAGUAUCGAAGAUAUUCUAGAGUGUGAGAGCAGAUUGAAUGUUCCUGUUUUGCCAAAAAUCAUUAAGUCAUUUAAAUCGUUAGUGUGGGGUACUUGUUGUAAAGGACUGAUUAAAAGCUCAGAGAAGCCCUUGUACAUUUGUCUAUUAAUCCCAAAAGCUUUCCAAUAUUUUCUCUUUCUAAUGAGGAGUCUGAGAAGAUGAUGUAUUAUUUCAUUUAAAAAUCUUAGAAGAUAAACCAAGACAGAAAAAGAUUAUGGCCACAGACAAGAGAUUAAACUAUUCAGGCAACAUGCUGUAAUAAAUAAGAAAAUACUGAGGCAAUAUACUGUUAAACUGGGAGCCAGUGGGUAGAAAUAUUGUGGUUUAUAUUUUGGCCCAAACUGAAGACAGCUGUCAGAGGAUAUGAGAGAAACAAUGAAAAUUGUCACUUGCCCCCUGAAUAUUUCAGAGUUAAUUGACAGGUCACCUAAAGAACAAGUCUGCCCUAUAAACAAGAGGAAACAACUCAGAGGAGCCAGUUUGGGCAUGGAUAGCAAAUGAUGACUGAAGCUUGCUACUAUGCUUUAUGUCUGUACAGUGGAACAGAAAGCAGCAUGCAGACCUCACCAGUGGUAUAUGGCAUUGCCUGCUGUAGGCUUUCUGCUUUAGGCACAGAAUAAAGUUGUCAUGAGUUACUUCUUACAGACUCUUGGAGAAUUGAGAAGCUACUCAUUGCUAUAGGUGUGUUAUGUUUGCACCUUAGCUCAAUCUUUUAUGGAUCAAUACACCCAGAAACAAUCUUUUGUGUAAUAACUCAUCAUUUCCUUAUGGUCUGAAGUUAUUUCUUUUCUCUUUUGAAAAAAAAAUCUGCAAAUUAGUGUUUCUUUGUUGUCAGAUUAUGAUAAAGUAGGCAGUUACACUAUUCAGUGAAGAUAGUCUUUUUAUUGCUGAGAUACUAGUUUGCUUAAAUUACAUUAUUUGUUCAAACAGUGAUACACCCAUUGUGUUAGUAAACUAUGCAUUUAUAGACUUGAGAAGAUGCCCUGAGAGAGAAAAGAAACCAAAAAUUUCAAAACUGUUUUAAGGCAUAGUUGGGAAGAUGAAGGAAAAAAAGGGGGGUAUAAAGAAUGAGGUGUGGAGUAGAAAAUUGUUAAGAGAGUAAAGGUUGUCAUUCUUAGGUGCCGUCGAGUCGCUUCCGACUCAUAGCAACCCUGUGUACAACAGAACUAAACACCGCCCAGUCCUGUGUGCCAUCCUCACAAUCGUUGCUGUGUUGGAGCCUGUUGUUGGAGCCACAGUGUCCAUCUCGUUGAGGGUCUUCCUCUUUUUCACUAACCCUCUACUUUACCAAGUAUGAUGUCCUUUUCCAGCGACAUGUCCAAAGAA
Trichechus manatus latirostris (Florida manatee) is the source of this 4949-nucleotide RNA transcript. It is a transcript of the gene named BCAS3 microtubule associated cell migration factor, with no coding region annotated. NCBI's taxonomy places the organism in Eukaryota, Metazoa, Chordata, Mammalia, Sirenia, Trichechidae. The transcript has 25 exons. The record is from RefSeq and is a predicted model, not a curated record.